RNAcentral lists this transfer RNA (91 nucleotides) under Palleronia marisminoris. RNAcentral's name for it is "tRNA-Pro". The record is from RNAcentral. Lineage: Bacteria; Pseudomonadati; Pseudomonadota; Alphaproteobacteria; Rhodobacterales; Roseobacteraceae.
ACGCGCCCGGCGCGGUGCCCCCGGGCGUCGAGGCAGCGCUGGCAGAGGCCGGGCUGACCGGCAUCGUCCGGUUCCAGACCGGGGGCGCGGC